Molecule: ribosomal RNA, 406 nt
Filed under: uncultured bacterium
Lineage: Bacteria
Description: partial 16S ribosomal RNA
Rfam family: Bacterial small subunit ribosomal RNA
Source: RNAcentral
AUUGAACGCUGGCGGCAGGCCUAACACAUGCAAGUCGAACGAGUGGCGGACGGGUGAGUAAUGUCUGGGAAACUGCCUGAUGGAGGGGUAUAACUACUGGAAACGGUAGCUAAUACCGCAUACCAUCGGAUGUGCCCCGAUGGGAUUAGCUAGUGGGUGGGGUAAAGGCUCACCUAGGCGACGAUCCCUAGCUGGUCUGAGAGGAUGACCAGCCACACUGGAACUGAGACACGGUCCAGACUCCUACGGGAGGCAGCAGUGGGGAAUAUUGCACAAUGGGCGCAAGCCUGAUGCAGCCAUGCCGCGUGUAUGAAGAAGGCCUUCGGGUUGUAAAGUACUGUCGGCGGGGAGGCGUUACCUGCAGAAGAAGCACCGGCUAACUACGUGCCAGCAGCCGCGGUAAUUC